This 750-nucleotide ribosomal RNA is filed under the name uncultured bacterium. Its description in RNAcentral is "bacterial SSU rRNA". It matches the Rfam family "Bacterial small subunit ribosomal RNA", at positions 43 to 773 of the family's 1533-position model. The record is from RNAcentral.
CAGGCCUAACACAUGCAAGUCGAGCGCCGGGGGUGUUCCCUUACGGGAAACCCCCUGGAGCGGCGGACGGGUGAGUAACACGUAGGCAACCUGCCUGUAAGAUCGGGAUAACUACCGGAAACGGUAGCUAAGACCGGAUAGCUGGUUUCUCCGCAUGGAGGGAUCAUGAAACAUGGGGCAACCUAUGGCUUACGGAUGGGCCUGCGGCGCAUUAGCUAGUUGGUGGGGUAAUGGCCCACCAAGGCGACGAUGCGUAGCCGACCUGAGAGGGUGAUCGGCCACACUGGGACUGAGACACGGCCCAGACUCCUACGGGAGGCAGCAGUAGGGAAUCUUCCGCAAUGGGCGCAAGCCUGACGGAGCAACGCCGCGUGAGUGAUGAAGGUUUUCGGAUCGUAAAGCUCUGUUGCCAAGGAAGAACGCCUCGGAGAGUAACUGCUCUGAGGGUGACGGUACUUGAGAAGAAAGCCCCGGCUAACUACGUGCCAGCAGCCGCGGUAAUACGUAGGGGGCAAGCGUUGUCCGGAAUUAUUGGGCGUAAAGCGCGCGCAGGCGGUCUUUUAAGUUUGGUGUUUAAGCCCGGGGCUCAACCCCGGUUCGCACUGAAAACUGGGAGACUUGAGUGCAGGAGAGGAAAGCGGAAUUCCACGUGUAGCGGUGAAAUGCGUAGAGAUGUGGAGGAACACCAGUGGCGAAGGCGGCUUUCUGGACUGUAACUGACGCUGAGGCGCGAAAGCGUGGGGAGCAAAC